AUUGAACGCUGGCGGCAUGCCUUACACAUGCAAGUCGAACGGCAGCACGGGAGCAAUCCUGGUGGCGAGUGGCGAACGGGUGAGUAAUAUAUCGGAACGUGCCCAGUCGUGGGGAUAACGUAGCGAAAGCUACGCUAAUACCGCAUACGAUCUAUGGAUGAAAGCGGGGGAUCGCAAGACCUCGCGCGAUUGGAGCGGCCGAUAUCAGAUUAGGUAGUUGGUGAGGUAAAGGCUCACCAAGCCGACGAUCUGUAGCUGGUCUGAGAGGACGACCAGCCACACUGGAACUGAGACACGGCCCAGACUCCUACGGGAGGCAGCAGUGGGGAAUUUUGGACAAUGGGCGCAAGCCUGAUCCAGCAAUGCCGCGUGCAGGAUGAAGGCCUUC
RNAcentral lists this ribosomal RNA (388 nucleotides) under uncultured bacterium. RNAcentral describes it as "bacterial SSU rRNA". It matches the Rfam family "Bacterial small subunit ribosomal RNA", at positions 30 to 419 of the family's 1533-position model. The record is from RNAcentral.